UGAAGACCAAGGCAGCCUAGGACAAUAGC
Molecule: non-coding RNA, 29 nt
Filed under: Mus musculus (house mouse)
Lineage: Eukaryota; Metazoa; Chordata; Mammalia; Rodentia; Muridae
Source: RNAcentral